UCACUUAUCAAUGUCGAUUAGGAUCGUGGAUUGAUUGUAGUUCACAGAGGGAUGUGCGCGAUUGGUGGAGUACGGCGCGAAUGUUAGUCGUGGAGAGGAUAUCCAUGGAACUGCGGUGGCGGGCUGAGUCGGAGUUGAACGGAGUUGUCGAUGACUGAGAGAGAUGCUUGAUGGUGUGAAGAGAUUGUUUGGUCGAUGAUGGAAAUCGCUUGAAGGUGGUGAUGAAGGGUUGGAAAACGGCGAUGAAAAAGUGACUGAAGGUAGCUCGCGGGAGUUAUAGGGCUUUAAUGACGAAACACCAUUUUCACAAGAAGAUGUAGAUGACAU
Molecule: non-coding RNA, 327 nt
Organism: Vicia faba (fava bean)
Lineage: Eukaryota; Viridiplantae; Streptophyta; Magnoliopsida; Fabales; Fabaceae
Source: the annotation of a GenBank genome assembly